UACGUAGGGGGCAAGCGUUAUCCGGAUUUACUGGGUGUAAAGGGAGCGUAGACGGUGAAGCAAGUCUGAAGUGAAAGGCGGGGGCUCAACCCCCGGACUGCUCUGGAAACUAUGUUACUGGAGUGCAGGAGAGGUAAGCGGAAUUCCUAGUGUAGCGGUGAAAUGCGUAGAUAUUAGGAGGAACACCAGUGGCGAAGGCGGCUUACUGGACAGUGACUGACACUGAGGCUCGAAAGCGUGGGGAGCAAACAGG
Molecule: ribosomal RNA, 253 nt
Filed under: uncultured Eubacteriales bacterium
Lineage: Bacteria; Bacillati; Bacillota; Clostridia; Eubacteriales
Description: uncultured Clostridiales bacterium partial 16S ribosomal RNA
Rfam family: Bacterial small subunit ribosomal RNA
Source: RNAcentral